AAAAUACUUUCUCCGUCCAACAAAGGAUGUCCAAAUUUGACUAAAUUUGAAUGCAUCUAUACACUAAGUCAUGUCUAUAUACAUUCAAAUUUUGACAAACUUAAGACAUCUUUUGUUGGACGGAGGGAGUGGUUU
Brachypodium distachyon (stiff brome) is the source of this 135-nucleotide non-coding RNA. NCBI's taxonomy places the organism in Eukaryota, Viridiplantae, Streptophyta, Magnoliopsida, Poales, Poaceae. The record is from Rfam.